GGGGUGCUGUCAGAUGUUCUAACGCACAUCGUAACAGGCAUUUUUGACAGCCAACUCUCUCCGAAGGCUUUCCACCACCUUGCUGGCAUUAACAGGCCCACGGUCUGUUCUCGCAGCUACUGCUGGCGAGCCGAGCCCUCGCUGAGCGCACGGGAUCCACCUGGCAGCAGGAAGGAGCCGAACUCGCCACGGGAGCAGCAGCCCCCGCGAGAGCUGCACGACCCACCUCACCCGCGAGCGGGCUGGGCACCAAGGAGCGUGCCAGCUCCCCGGACGCCGGCCCGUCGAGGCACCUUCUCCACGCCGGGACGCGCCGAGGUGCUCAGGAGCAGGCCCCGUGCCAUCACAGCAGGUCCAACGCGGCGGGCACCACGCUGCUGGGGUGCACGGUGCUCGCUGUCUCCCCUGCACCGUGGCUUCCCCACCUGGCACGGCGCUGGGGGCUCCCCUCGCUGCCCCGAGGGAGGGAUAAAAGCGUGGGGAGCCCGCUCUGGGGCACGGCUGGGGUCUGCCGCGGGGCGAGCCAAGCCCGGCGGCGGGGCCCCCAGCAGAAGGCAGGCUGGACCGCAGCAAACUUUCCGGGUGGGCGAGGAGGGCAGCCUCCACCGAGCCCACGGAGCGGGGUCUCCGCCUCUCCCUCCUCCAGGCAGCGCACAGCCGGCCCCGCACACCUCCCCUCCUCCACCGCCGCCCCAAAAUCGCCUCCCGGGNNNNNNNNNNNNNNNNNNNNNNNNNGACUUACCGGCCUCACUCGGCGGCCCGGAGAGGCGGCCCCGGCCGCCGCAUCCCCCCCGCCCGGCUGCGGGCGGCGGCGCCGCCUCCCCGCUCAGCUCCUGCCGCCGCCGCCUCCUCUUCUUCCUCCUCCUCCUCCUCCUGCGCCCGGCCCCGCCGCCUCCAUUUCCUCCCGCCGCCGCCGGCAAGCCCCGGCCCCGCCGCGGGGAUGGGGAGGAAGGCGGAGGCCGGCUCGGCCCCGCUCCGAGGAGCCGCAGCGCCGCUCCCGGCCGCCCCGGGGCGGAGGCAGCAGGGAGGGACGGAUGCGCCGCUCGCCUCGCCCCGCCUCGCCUGGCCCCGGCGGGCUCCGGGCGCCGCGGCCUGGUGGCUCGGCCCCGCCGGCUUUCGGCGCUCGCAGGGCGGUCGGGGCUCGUCCCCGGGGCCCUAAAGCCGACAGGCAGGUGGGCUGGCGUGUAUUUACCAAUCUGGUCUUCAGAAAGGGUCUUGGACGCGCCUCUAGCGGUCGCGUCUCAAAACGGGCAGCUGAAAAUAGGACCUCUGCGCGCCCGCAGGGCUUCAGUACCCCCGAGUGCCAUCAAAACACCGUGGGGGCCAGGCCUUCUGAAGGAAGCGGUGGUACCGGAGCAAAGCCACCUCGUUUGGUGCUCCUUGGAUACUCAUGCACCUUCCAGUGUGAAAUCAUGGCACGACACCAAGGACAGGCCCCAAGAGACGUGCUCCUGCUAUCUGACCCAGCACAAAAGCGGUCAUGUCCCCUCUGUCCAGUCAUAA
Molecule: long non-coding RNA, 1503 nt
Filed under: Anser cygnoides (Swan goose)
Lineage: Eukaryota; Metazoa; Chordata; Aves; Anseriformes; Anatidae
Description: lncRNA (ENSACDG00005017607.1)
Source: RNAcentral